Molecule: ribosomal RNA, 705 nt
Filed under: Triticum aestivum (bread wheat)
Lineage: Eukaryota; Viridiplantae; Streptophyta; Magnoliopsida; Poales; Poaceae
Description: partial small subunit ribosomal RNA
Source: RNAcentral
AUGGAGGAUGCCUUUGCUUGGCCGCAUGACCCUUCGGGCAUGUACACAGCGAGAUCCACCUAUGACAAGCUUAAUCAGGGCGCGAUCAGAUCACCUACUGCUGCCGCAAUCUGGCGUAGCUGGGCACCACUUAAGUGCAAGAUCUUUGCUUGGCUCGCCGUGCAGCACCGGCUUUGGACAUCUGACAGACGGACGCGACAUGGGUUGCAGGACAACACCUCGCCUUGCUACACUUGCUUGCAGGAGGAGGACACUGUUGAGCACAUCGUGGUGCAGUGUGUUUACGCUCGCCAGGUGUGGCACACGUGUUUUGACUCCCUACAAAUCAAUGUCCUUAUUCCCAAUGACACGGACACACUUGUGGAGUGGUGGCUUAGGGCUCGCUCUGGUUUCCAAGGAAAACACAAGCGAGGUUUUGACUCGGUUGUCAUCGGCGCGGCUUGGAUGCUGUGGAAGCAAAGGAACGCCAAGGUGUUCAAUCGGCCGGAGCAAGUUAAAGACUAUAGUGAGCUAGCUAGAGCCAUCCUUGAUGAAAUCUGCGAGUGGUAUAAUGCAGGUAAGUUGAUCGAGCGACUGCCUCAAGGAUCGGACGAGGGGAGGUGCACCUGGCUACUACCCCAACCUGCUAUUGCUCCAAUUCAGGAACUCAAUGAGAGGGCGUUGAAGGCUCAAGAGCUGAAGCAGCAGCCCGACUCUAGUUUCUAG